CAGGCCUAACACAUGCAAGUCGAGCGGACUUAUCCUUCGGGGUUGGUUAGCGGCGGACGGGUGAGUAACACGUAGGCAACCUGCCUGUAAGAUCGGGAUAACUACCGGAAACGGUAGCUAAGACCGGAUAGCUGGUUUCCCCGCAUGGGGGAAUCAUGAAACAUGGGGCAACCUGUGGCUUACGGAUGGGCCUGCGGCGCAUUAGCUAGUUGGUGGGGUAAUGGCCCACCAAGGCGACGAUGCGUAGCCGACCUGAGAGGGUGAUCGGCCACACUGGGACUGAGACACGGCCCAGACUCCUACGGGAGGCAGCAGUAGGGAAUCUUCCGCAAUGGGCGCAAGCCUGACGGAGCAACGCCGCGUGAGUGAUGAAGGUUUUCGGAUCGUAAAGCUCUGUUGCCAAGGAAGAACGCCUCGGAGAGUAACUGCUCUGAGGGUGACGGUACUUGAGAAGAAAGCCCCGGCUAACUACGUGCCAGCAGCCGCGGUAAUACGUAGGGGGCAAGCGUUGUCCGGAAUUAUUGGGCGUAAAGCGCGCGCAGGCGGUCUUUUAAGUUUGGUGUUUAAGCCCGGGGCUCAACCCCGGUUCGCACUGAAAACUGGGAGACUUGAGUGCAGGAGAGGAAAGCGGAAUUCCACGUGUAGCGGUGAAAUGCGUAGAGAUGUGGGGGAACACCAGUGGCGAAGGCGGCUUUCUGGACUGUAACUGACGCUGAGGCGCGAAAGCGUGGGGAGCAAACAGGAUUAGAU
Molecule: ribosomal RNA, 750 nt
Filed under: uncultured bacterium
Lineage: Bacteria
Description: bacterial SSU rRNA
Rfam family: Bacterial small subunit ribosomal RNA
Source: RNAcentral